AUAGAGCAGAGGAAUGGGUGAGAGAAAUGGAACUAAACAACAAUAACUUUCACCAAUAUUUAGCUCAAGCCUGUGAAAAUGACCCUAAUGUUAACGUGAAUUUUAAUAAAGCAAUGAUGUAUAUUUCUGUUCAAACC
Molecule: long non-coding RNA, 137 nt
Organism: Sphaeramia orbicularis (orbiculate cardinalfish)
Lineage: Eukaryota; Metazoa; Chordata; Actinopteri; Kurtiformes; Apogonidae
Exons: 3
Source: RefSeq, a predicted model, not a curated record